AGAGGCACAUCAGGUGCCGAUGUCCAGUGGCGGUGAACGAGGAAGCCCUCCUUGAGGGCCUGGAGGGAGAAGGAGCAAGUGACCACUAGGUCCAGGGGCCCCGGCCUCCUCCAGCAUCUUCCCAGCCCCCGGGGGCUCCAAUCCUUGAACUUCAGCAGCGCUGAGUGAGGCCCAAGCUGGCCUGGAGCCUGCGGCCGGCCAGACUGGCUCCUGCAGAAGUCAUUAGUGGGGUGCCCCAGAGCCUCUGCACCCUGCCGGGUGGGUGACUCAGCCCGAUAUGAACGGUAUCCACCCCGCUGAUGGAUGACAGACAGUCACGAGCCUUGUAGGACAUCCUAAAGGCGUGAGAAGCCCCUCCAGGCUGAGUCACCGCGGAGCCUGGGGCAGGGACCAGGGCCUGGGCUUCCUCAGGGCUCUGUCUGAGCCUCCUGGCCCCAACUCCAGAAGCUUGAUAUCCUGCUUUCCCAGCCUGGCAGAGCUGGUCUCCCUCUUCACUCCCAGCCUCCAGUGGCGCCCAGUGUAGAAGCUCCAAGACGGGCAACUUGAACCUGUUAUCACCUCAAAGGGACUCAGGAGACCUCCGUGGGGCCACAACGCUACGGGGAUAUUUCCAGCUUCCCAGGUUCUGGGCAUCUCGUGGGCUUGACCAUCCUGCCCUUUUGUGUCAGAGCCGGCGGUCAGCAGG
Long non-coding RNA from Diceros bicornis minor, 685 nucleotides. RefSeq lists it as uncharacterized. The record is from RefSeq and is a predicted model, not a curated record. The transcript is spliced from 3 exons. NCBI's taxonomy places the organism in Eukaryota, Metazoa, Chordata, Mammalia, Perissodactyla, Rhinocerotidae.